AGUAGGCUGCAGUGCGCAAGUUUAAGAUUUGUCAUGGGGGAAGUAUUGUGGCCACUUCUCAGCCAUCCUCUAAUAGCCUCAGCAUCAUAUGUGAAACCAUCCGCCGCUAUUUGUGGAUCUUUCAUGACUUCCUGGAAAAUGGGACAGACAAAAUGGGAAGGAAUCCGCCGGUGCAGCUCCUUGGAACUUCUGCAGCAUGCUG
RNAcentral lists this unclassified non-coding RNA (202 nucleotides) under Hevea brasiliensis (rubber tree). The record is from RNAcentral. Lineage: Eukaryota; Viridiplantae; Streptophyta; Magnoliopsida; Malpighiales; Euphorbiaceae.